RNAcentral lists this ribosomal RNA (369 nucleotides) under Phrurolithus festivus. RNAcentral's name for it is "partial large subunit ribosomal RNA". The record is from RNAcentral. Lineage: Eukaryota; Metazoa; Arthropoda; Arachnida; Araneae; Corinnidae.
GCAUAAUCACUCGUUUUUUAAUUAAAAACUAGAACAAAAGAUUUAACAUUUUAAUAAAUUUCUUAAAUUUUAUUCUUAAAAUUAUUUUAAAUGUAAAAAAACAUUUAUAAAAAAGGUAGACGACAAGACCCUAUUGAACUUAACUAUAGUUUAACUGGGGCAGUUAAUUAAUUAUUACUUUAAUUAAAAUAUUACAAAAAAUAGACCUAAUAAAAUUAAUUACAUAAUCAAGCUACCAUAGGGAUAACAGCAUAAUAAUUAACUAAAGUUCUUAUAUAAUUAUUAAAUUGUGACCUCGAUGUUGAAUUAAUAUUCUUUAUAAACGCAAUAGUUUUAAUAGAAAGUCUGUUCGACUUUUAAAAAAUUACA